Molecule: ribosomal RNA, 243 nt
Filed under: uncultured bacterium
Lineage: Bacteria
Description: partial 16S ribosomal RNA
Rfam family: Bacterial small subunit ribosomal RNA
Source: RNAcentral
GUCCACGCCGUAAACGUUGGGCACUAGGUGUGGGUCUCAACCAACGAGAUCCGCGCCGUCGCUAACGCAUUAAGUGCCCCGCCUGGGGAGUACGGUCGCAAGGCUAAAACUCAAAGGAAUUGACGGGGGCCCGCACAAGCAGCGGAGCGUGUUGCUUAAUUCGAUGCAACGCGAAGAACCUUACCUGGGUUUGACAUGUAGGGAAAAGCUCUAGAGAUAGGGUGUCCUUCGGGGCCUUACACA